Molecule: ribosomal RNA, 267 nt
Filed under: uncultured bacterium
Lineage: Bacteria
Description: partial 16S ribosomal RNA
Rfam family: Bacterial small subunit ribosomal RNA
Source: RNAcentral
GACGAACGCUGGCGGCGUGCUUAACACAUGCAAGUCGAGCGGUAAGGCCCUUUCGGGGGUACGACGAGCGGCGAACGGGUGAGUAACACGUGGGUGACCUGCCCUCCAGCUCUGGGAUAAGCCUGGGAAACCGGGUCUAAUACCGGAUAUGACUCCAUGACGCAUGUUGUGGGGUGGAAAGCCUUGUGCGGCUGAGGAUGGGCCCGCCGGCCUAUCAGCUUGUUGGUGGGGUGAAUGGCCUACCAAGGCGACGACGGGUAGCCGGCC